Molecule: transfer RNA, 84 nt
Filed under: Legionellales bacterium
Lineage: Bacteria; Pseudomonadati; Pseudomonadota; Gammaproteobacteria; Legionellales
Description: tRNA-Leu
Rfam family: tRNA
About the family: Transfer RNA (tRNA) molecules are approximately 80 nucleotides in length. Their secondary structure includes four short double-helical elements and three loops (D, anti-codon, and T loops).
Source: RNAcentral
GCCGAAGUGGUGGAAUUGGUAGACACGCUGUCUUGAGGGGGCAGUGACCUCAGGGUCGUGCCGGUUCAAAUCCGGCCUUCGGCA